CUACACACCUCUCAUCAAGGCAUGCUGUGGUGGCAUCCCACGCACAAAAAAUAGAGGCAGGUUGUCACAGAUGUUAGCUCAUGGCCAAUCUUCCUCACCAAACAAAUAUGUAUAUAAGCACAAAUAUAAUUUAUACUUUUCUGAAUUACUAAAGUCUGCAAUUUGAAACUAUUGCAAUAAUGAAAUUAAUCUCUCUGGACCUAAUUUCUCUGAACAAUAGGAAACGGCAGAAGGUAUGGGUUAAGAAUAUGAGCUUCAGAGUCAGAUUGCCAGGAUUUACAUCCUGGUUAUAUUGCUGGGAGCUGUUGAGUUGGGGUAAGUUGCUAAUCUCAGUCUCCUCAUCUAUAGAAUGGAGGUAAUAUAUUUACAUCAUUCCUUAUGAGUUUGUUCUUGUAUGAGCUAGUAAAUGACAAGGACUUAGACCACUGCCUGGUACAAAGAAUGUACUCAGUAUAUUUUAGCUGCUCUUAAAAAGGAUUAUUAAAUGCCUUCUGAAUUCACCUUCCACUCUUAUUUUCUAUGAUGCUUAGAUUCCUGUAACUGAAAUCUAUAGAUUUAUACGUUCAAAACAGUGAAAACAUCUGUUAACCUCUGUCCAUCUUUCUGAUUCCACAAUGACAGCUCCUGGUGCUCAGAAGACAGUUGCAGUCUUGAGACUUAAGAGCAAAGAUUCUAUUCAAUUCCACAAUAUUCGGAGGAGAAUCACCACAUUCAUUGUGAUAGGCAAGAAGAAUCAAGAAAAGGACUUACUUAAAAUUGGAGAUUGUUCUGUUUUGACCUUAAAGCGUGUAAGAAGUUGUGCCCAACAGGAAGGAGAAUACCACUUCAUAUCUAAACCUACUUGAAAAACCAGUCUUGGUCUACCUACUGGAGUGUGCCAUACAUGUAAUCAUCAUUUGGCAGGUGUGUGGGGACCUCUGGCAGCCUCCAUUGUUUAGCUGGUGGGCCCAGCUCACAUUCAGUCCUGAGCGAGCUGUGCUUUCUGUAAGCAGCUGACUUCUACCAUCUCCGGCUCUCAGGAUCCAAAUACACUUGGUGGUUUUGUGUAAAAAUAAUGCACACUCCUUCCCUGUGGCUGAGGAUGAGAAGAUGGCGUUGGGUCGUGAUAGAUGGGAUUUAUUCCCCAAGCUGUUUGGAACCGCGAGCCGAUUGAAGGAGGAGAAGAAGGCCAUUGUCAAUGCUGCUGAUUGUUGACGCCUCAUCACCUGGAACACCUAGUACAUGGGAUAAGCUCAAGAAGCAAGUGAAGUCUCAAGGUCGUACUGCUUCAGCAUGCAGACAGACAGAAUUGGGUAUCCUGUAAGAUGUGGAUCAGUGAUGCAAGAGCUUUAUACAGCCUCAAUGAAGACAGCAGUGAGACUGAGCGAUCAGCUUAUCACAAAUCACUCUUCUGCUUCCCUGGGAGUGCGCUCUGCAACAAAGCAUUAAGCCGGAACUUUUGCCUUAGGCCCUGAUUUCUGAGAGCCCUUGGCCAUGAAAGUCUUUUUCCUCGUUCUCACUUUUCCCUACAGAUUUGUUCAAAGACUGGUGUUAUCAUCACCUUUUUGAGACCCUAUAAUUGAGAUUUGGAGAUAUUGAAGCAAAGGAGAAGUUUAUUUUGAAAUGCCUCUGUUAGCUCAUGGCUUUCACUGUAAAUACAGAUGGUGGGAAUGUAAUAGGGAAGCACCUCUGUUAAUUGUAUUAUCCUCAACUUGUCAAUGAAUUUUAAGUACAUUCUGGUUUGCAUUUCAUAUCAUCUUAACAGUGACAUCUUCACAUCUCGUGUUUUCC
This 1770-nucleotide long non-coding RNA is filed under the name Equus caballus (horse). Its description in RNAcentral is "lncRNA (ENSECAG00000050287.1)". Lineage: Eukaryota; Metazoa; Chordata; Mammalia; Perissodactyla; Equidae. The record is from RNAcentral.